Molecule: unclassified non-coding RNA, 403 nt
Filed under: fungal sp.
Lineage: Eukaryota; Fungi
Description: partial internal transcribed spacer region
Rfam family: Eukaryotic small subunit ribosomal RNA (bases 1-46)
Source: RNAcentral
AAGUCGUAACAAGGUUUCCGUAGGUGAACCUGCGGAAGGAUCAUUUCUGAACUAAGGGAGAGAGAAAAGUUAACAAAAGGAGUGUCAUGCUCUUUUUGAAGACUUUUUCUUUCUUUCCUUAUCAAAGAGAGUGUGUGGUAUAAAUGAAAAGGAAAAUAAACAAAAAGGAAUUUUAGCGGGUACAUUUAUUUGUACUCGUUGUUUCUUUUGUUGUUUUCCUAAUCUUACUUUUAUGAACCAAAACAAGUUACUUUUAUUGUUCAAAACAAACUGUCUUUCUUUUUUUGUUUCUUUUUUGGAAGUUUGUUCGCUCUUUUGCGUUCAGAUGGAAAGAAAAAGACAAAGGGGGAAAAACAACAAAAAAAAUGACAUACAACUGUCAACGGUGGAUCUCUUGGCUCGU